AUUGAACGCUGGCGGUAUGCUUAACACAUGCAAGUCGAACGGAAACGAUACUAGCUUGCUAGUAGGCGUCGAGUGGCGGACGGGUGAGUAACGCGUAGGAAUCUGCCUGAUAGUGGGGGAUAGCCCGGAGAAAUUCGGAUUAAUACCGCAUAAUCUAUUCGUAGUAAAGUGGGGGACUUUCGAGCCUCACGCUAUCAGAUGAGCCUGCGUAAGAUUAGCUAGUUGGUAGGGUAAAAGCCUACCAAGGCGACGAUCUUUAGCUGGUCUGAGAGGAUGAUCAGCCACAUCGGGACUGAGACACGGCCCGAACUCCUACGGGAGGCAGCAGUGGGGAAUAUUGGACAAUGGGGGCAACCCUGAUCCAGCAAUACCGCGUGUGUGAAGAAGGCCUGAGGGUUGUAAAGCACUUUCAAUUGUGAAGAAAAGUUAGCGGUUAAUAACCGUUAGCCUUGACGUUAACUUUAGAAGAAGCACCGGCUAACUCCGUGCCAGCAGCCGCGGUAAUACGGAGGGUGCAAGCGUUAAUCGGAAUUACUGGGCGUAAAGCGUGCGUAGGCGGUUUAUUAAGUCAGAUGUGAAAGCCCCGGGCUUAACCUGGGAACUGCAUUUGAAACUGGUAAACUAGAGUAUGGUAGAGGAAAGUGGAAUUUCUGGUGUAGCGGUGAAAUGCGUAGAUAUCAGAAGGAACAUCAAUGGCGAAGGCAGCUUUCUGGACUCAAUACUGACGCUGA
RNAcentral lists this ribosomal RNA (731 nucleotides) under bacterium IMCC11809. RNAcentral's name for it is "bacterial SSU rRNA". It matches the Rfam family "Bacterial small subunit ribosomal RNA", at positions 28 to 749 of the family's 1533-position model. The record is from RNAcentral.